GGAGGGAAAAAUAUUGAAGUUGAUAUAUCUCGUUUUCUUGCAGGAUCUGAAUUGUUUCUUCUGGAAGUGUAUUAUCAAGCUUUCCUUCGUAUGUGUCCCCCUAUUUUCAUAAUAUAUAAUAUAAUCAUUUGUUUUGGUAUUUUUAUUGUAUUGAUAAAAUGAUAAAAGUAUCACGUACCUUGAUGUCAAUACAAAGAAACGAUGUUCCAAGAUACUGGUUAUUUUUUUUAUGAUUGAAAAUACGCCACAUACGACAUAUACGAACCAAUUUUGGUGACAUUGACAACUCAUUUUCUCUGAAAAAAUAAGAGAAACACAUUACUUAUAUGGGGAAUUAAUUUAGAUUAUCAGGUCACCCAAUUUGAUAUUAGAUGAGAAUAACAUAUUUCUUUCACAUAUUUCAUAGAAUACAGUUUUAUGAACAAUAACUUCAUGAAACUCCUAAAGUUUUUGCUUAAAACAAAACCUAACUAAAUAAGUCUCUAUUUUCUGUUAGGCAACAGAUGGUUGACCGUUUGUCAUUUAAUCACAUUAUCUAAUAUUGGCCAAGACAUAACUUGGUCUUCCAAGUAAAAAUGAAAAAGCCUGAAGACAUGUAAACCAUUCUAAAAAAAAACAUUGCCACAGAUUGCAAUACACUUCGACAUUCAUGGGUAGCACUAUCUCUAGGUGACCAUUUCAACUUUCUUAUGAUUAAAAGAUUAUCAAUGUGUGUUAGUCAGAGACUGUUAAAUGAUCCAGAACUC
This 746-nucleotide long non-coding RNA is filed under the name Brassica napus (rape). Its description in RNAcentral is "long non-coding RNA (BNAP_LNC010743)". The record is from RNAcentral. Lineage: Eukaryota; Viridiplantae; Streptophyta; Magnoliopsida; Brassicales; Brassicaceae.